Molecule: small nuclear RNA, 192 nt
Organism: Ochotona princeps (American pika)
Lineage: Eukaryota; Metazoa; Chordata; Mammalia; Lagomorpha; Ochotonidae
Product: U2 spliceosomal RNA
Exons: 1
Source: RefSeq, a predicted model, not a curated record
AACACUUCUUGACCUUUUUGCUAAGAUCAAGUGUAGUAUCUGUUCUUAUCAGUUUCAUUUUGAACACAGAGGAAAUUUUUCCUAAAACACUUUAUAUCAUUUUUUUAAAAUAUUUAUUAUUAUUGGAAAGCCAGAUAUACAGAGAGGAGGAGAGACAGAGAGAAAGAUCUUCCGUCCGAUGAUUCACUCCCC